GAUGAACGCUGGCGGCGUGCUUAACACAUGCCAGUCGAACGGAAAGGCCCAAGCUUGCUUGGGUACUCGAGUGGCGAACGGGUGAGUAACACGUGGGUGAUCUGCCCUGCACUUCGGGAUAAGCCUGGGAAACUGGGUCUAAUACCGGAUAGGACGAUGGUUUGGAUGCCAUUGUGGAAAGUUUUUUCGGUGUGGGAUGAGCUCGCGGCCUAUCAGCUUGUUGGUGGGGUAAUGGCCUACCAAGGCGUCGACGGGUAGCCGGCCUGAGAGGGUGUACGGCCACAUUGGGACUGAGAUACGGCCCAGACUCCUACGGGAGGCAGCAGUGGGGAAUAUUGCACAAUGGGCGCAAGCCUGAUGCAGCGACGCCGCGUGGGGGAUGACGGCCUUCGGGUUGUAAACUCCUUUCGCUAGGGACGAAGCGUUUUUGUGACGGUACCUGGAGAAGAAGCACCGGCUAACUACG
Molecule: ribosomal RNA, 466 nt
Filed under: uncultured bacterium
Lineage: Bacteria
Description: partial 16S ribosomal RNA
Rfam family: Bacterial small subunit ribosomal RNA
Source: RNAcentral